CAUGCCGUAAACGAUGAGUGCUAAGUGUUAGGGGGUUUCCGCCCCUUAGUGCUGCAGCUAACGCAUUAAGCACUCCGCCUGGGGAGUACGACCGCAAGGUUGAAACUCAAAGGAAUUGACGGGGGCCCGCACAAGCAGUGGAGUAUGUGGUUUAAUUCGAAGCAACGCGAAGAACCUUACCAGGUCUUGACAUCCAACUAACGAAGCAGAGAUGCAUCAGGUGCCCUUCGGGGAAAGUUGAGACAGGUGG
This 250-nucleotide ribosomal RNA is filed under the name uncultured bacterium. Its description in RNAcentral is "partial 16S ribosomal RNA". It matches the Rfam family "Bacterial small subunit ribosomal RNA", at positions 796 to 1041 of the family's 1533-position model. The record is from RNAcentral.